Small nuclear RNA from Prolemur simus (greater bamboo lemur), 104 nucleotides. The record is from Ensembl. NCBI's taxonomy places the organism in Eukaryota, Metazoa, Chordata, Mammalia, Primates, Lemuridae.
UCACUUCAGCAUUGUAUACACUAAAAUUCGGAUGAUACAGAGAGGAUUAGCAUGGCCUCUGCACAAGAAUGACCAUGCCAAUUUGUGAAGCAUUCCAUAUUUUU